Non-coding RNA from Petromyzon marinus (sea lamprey), 197 nucleotides. The record is from RefSeq and is a predicted model, not a curated record. NCBI's taxonomy places the organism in Eukaryota, Metazoa, Chordata, Hyperoartia, Petromyzontiformes, Petromyzontidae.
GUGAUGAUUCAGGUGGUUAGUCAGGUGAUGAUUCAGGUGGUUAGUCAGGUGAUGAUUCAGGUGGUUAGUCAGGUGAUGAUUCAGGUGGUUAGUCAGGUGAUGAUUCAGGUGGUUAGUCAGGUGAUGAUUCAGGUGGUUAGUCAGGUGAUGAUUCAGGUGGUUAGUCAGGUGAUGAUUCAGGUGGUUAGUCAGGUGGU